GUCUAUGGCCAUACCACCCUGAACACACCUGAUCUCAUCUGAUCUCAGAAGCUAAGCAGGGUCGGGCCUGGUUAGUACUUGGAUGGGAGGAAGGAGGAGACAGGCUCCAGAGCAA
Colobus angolensis palliatus is the source of this 115-nucleotide ribosomal RNA. The record is from Ensembl. Lineage: Eukaryota; Metazoa; Chordata; Mammalia; Primates; Cercopithecidae.